This is a non-coding RNA of Acanthosepion pharaonis, 113 nucleotides long. The record is from the annotation of a GenBank genome assembly. NCBI's taxonomy places the organism in Eukaryota, Metazoa, Mollusca, Cephalopoda, Sepiida, Sepiidae.
UUACGACCAUAUCACGUUCAAACACCUGAUUUCUUACAAUCAGCGAAGUUAAGCAACGUCGAGCCUAGUCAGUACCUCGAGGGAUAAUCGCUUGGGAAUACCAGGUGAUGGAU